UACAGAGGGUGCGAGCGUUGAUCGGAUUUACUGGGCGUAAAGGGCGCGUAGGCGGUCAGAUGAGUGUGAUGUGAAAGCCCCGGGCUUAACCUGGGAAGUGCAUUGCAAACGAUCUGACUAGAGUACAAGAGAGGGUGGUGGAAUUUCCGGUGUAGCGGUGAAAUGCGUAGAUAUCGGAAAGAACGUCAAUGGCGAAGGCAGCCACCUGGCUUGAUACUGACGCUGAGGCGUGAAAGCGUGGGGAGCGAACAGG
Molecule: ribosomal RNA, 253 nt
Filed under: uncultured bacterium
Lineage: Bacteria
Description: partial 16S ribosomal RNA
Rfam family: Bacterial small subunit ribosomal RNA
Source: RNAcentral